UGGGUAUGAAGUGGUACUAUCAGUGCUGGGUUUCGGUGUGAGGGAUGGGUGUGACAAGGCUUGCGACAGAGUGGCGUGGAACUUCCCUGGCUGUCAGUCAGAUUUUGACAGAAGGGCGGGGUAACAUACCGAAAGCAGAAGGUCUUGGUGUGGAAUGUGCAAGGUCUGCAAGCAGAUUAAAUAGAAGCCUUCUGGUGCAGUCCAAGUGCCAUGGUGAUAAAGAAAGAUCAGGGGAAGGAUCUGUACAUGUAAGAGAUUGCUCUAGAGUAGGGGUGUCCAACUUCUUGGCUUGCGUGAGCUGCAUUGAGUGAAGGGAAAUUGUCCUAGGCUGAUGUUUACGUUGUGGCUGAGGGGUGGGUGUGCACCUGAGGCUGGGCUGGGCCUCCCAGCACGGAAGAGCCACCGCCAUGAUGGCCUUACUUGCUGUGCUGGGCCCCAUGGGGCCUGCAGGCCGUGGGUUGGAUGCUUGUUCUAGAGUGUCUCUAAAGAUCUGUCAUUGAUUCUAACCCCUUUCCUCCUGCCAUAGUUGCCCUACUAGAGCUUUGCCCUGUACCAAAUUAGACUGACACGCCCACUAGUUAGCUACUGGCCUCACAAUAUUCCUCACAAAAUUCUGUGUUACAGCAGCAUGACAACCUCCUACAGCAGCCCUCAGGCUGGGUGCAGAGGAAGCUAGCAAGAAAGCUGCACAGCAACAGUGCUCUGAAGCAUUCAAAAUAAUGUUCAAUAAGCAAAACAUCCCCUUUCAACUCAAAGCACCUGGCCCGUCAACCUGGUGACUUGGGAAAACUGGGAUAAGAGCAGCAGUGAGUGUUACAGAUUAACAGCAACAGGUAGUUCCUGGCAGUAAGGCCAGGGGCUGGUAUUUACCUCUGCCACACUUUCACCUGUGAAGUUCUCUGAGCUUUAGGGGAAGAAGCUCCUUCUUUCAAGAACCUCUCUUAGUGUGACGAGGUGUUUGGCUUGUGUUAUUCUGUGCCACGCAAACAGCAGGGAUUGGAUUAUUAGUAGGGUUAAGAAUGAAGUAAAAAAGCAGCUCUGAAGGAGGAAGAAUGGAUUCAUGGUGACAGCAACAGCCUGGCGUGCUGGAUUCCUUGCUCUGCCCUGUGCAGCAGUUGCAGCAUGACCUGAGCGCGUGCCUUAUCUUCGGAUAAUACCUGAACCUCGCGGGGAGAACAGUAGACUUUGGGACCAGGACACACCUUUUCCGUCAGCAGCAUUUUGGCUGCCUACCAGCUGAAAUGGUAUGUCUGUGUCUGGAUGAGAUGGAGUGCAAUUUACAAAUUUCGUCCACAUGAUGGAUGUGGAAGAGAAACCAUGGUAGAUGGCAUCCAACCAGAAGCAAGCUGCAGUUUUGUUGUGAAUAUCCAGGAAGUCUCUGUGGUGCAGAUGUGACAGCAACAGCAAAACCUAUUUCAAAGUCCCAUGCCAUGAAGAAGCUGUACAGAAGAACUCCUUGCUGAAAUGCAACUAUCUCUGGGGUGGAGCGCUACUCUUUGACUCCUCUGCAGAAGCAAAACGGAUCUGUAGACAAAGAUGCAAAAUCACAAUGGGAUGAAGAGUGAACUUGGGAGUGAACUCUCUGGGAAGUACAUAAGAGGGAUCAGAGCUCAUUGCACGUGAACUGAACAGCAUUGAAGGAAUAAAACAACUUACAAGCUACAUCAGUCCUGGAAAACAAAAGCAUUUUACAAAAGAUUUCCUCUUGUUUGAGUUGUGAUGUCCAACUGUGAUCGAUAAUCACUUCUUAUCCUGGUUGUUUUGUUGCUUCUGAGACAUGAAGUUUUCACUUUGAGCUUGGUUAAAGAGCCAAAUGAGGGGAUGCAGCUGUGUCCAAAUUAACCCUUAGCUCAGCAGUAGAGUUUUCUCAGGCUGCUUUGAGAAGAAAAACAUAGUUAAAACAACAAAAAGUUUUCACUUUUGCCUCAGGGGCUGGAAACCUAUUUUUCAGGCAGCUUAACUUCUGUCAUUCUCAGUGCGUCUCUUCAAAUUAGCUGCAGACAGUGAAAUAAAUAGGAAAUAUUGCCCGAGAGUCCUUGGUUUUGUCAGAAAGGACUUUGAAAAAGUAGAGGAGAAGAAAAAGGGAGCCUGAAUCAUGAAGGCCUGCCGUGUCUUUUUGCUGAUACGAAAUCAAAACUGACUGAGGUUAUGGUCAUUCAAUUAUUACAAAAACCCGUGUACAAGAAAACCUGUAAUUUGAUGAUGCUGGGUUAAACAUUCUGGACAAGACGCAGUGUGAUCUUCCUCAUGUUUGAAUUCUAAGUUUCAGCAAAGGAAAAAUAAUGCCAGGUAAAUCUGGGAAAGAGAUUUCAUCAUGUUAUGGGAGAGGAGGGCACAACUAAGAAAUGGCACUGGUUUCUCCAUAAGCAUCCCUAACUGGUUCCUUUCAGAUGCUGGCAGCCCUGUAUCUUCUCUGCCUCAGGACACAGUGGCUAGGUGCCUCACAAGAGCUGCCCAUAAGAUGUCCAGGCCAAGCGUAUGAACAAUUUUUGGUGCAACUUUGAAGCUCUUUUGACUGGCAUAUGUACUGAGAUUUGCAAGGCUGUGUAUGUAGGGUAUCAUCCAAGCCCUGGUCAAUCCAUGAUGUCUUUCAGCUGCAGAAACUCAUACAUCUUAACCAUGACUCCAUUAAACAUCACUCCUUGGGCAGCAAGAGCUAUUUUGCCCAAGUAAAAGGCAAAUAUCUUCAUUUCUGGAUGUUUAUACCAGUGCCUGGUAGUGUCAGACACCCACCCAUGGCACAGAAGAAGCUCCUAAUUUAAUAUGGUGGUUAAGAAGAAUAAUUUCUGAUUCCAGCUCUUCACAAGCAGAAGCCUGACGUGACUCCCUGCCAACAGUCUGCUUCCAUUUUCACCCCAGAAUUUUAUUUUUUUCCCUCGUUCACAUACUUUCCUAAAUUGUCUUUGGUCCUGGGUAUUUAAAUUACAUGUUGACUCUGUGUUCUGUGAGUGGAUGAAUUAAACUGUUAUCAACAGGAGGAGCUUAUCUCCUCCUUUGUUCCACCUGGAGUUUGCUAAUACAUCCAUUACCUUUAUAUCACAGAAAACAAUUAACAGAGGUGUUUGUUGAUAAAAGAAUCAGUUUAUCUCGAUUGAAUGCUUGUAUCUCACAGCUCACCCUGCACACCUCAGAUCCAGAGUCCUGCGGCAGCUCCAAUAUUCUUUAGGAUGAAUGCAGAAGGUAUUCCCAUAAGAUAUUUCAUUUCAAAAAUUAUUUUUGGUUGGAAAACAUUUCUCACUUUCACUGUUGAUUUUUCCUCUAAACAUUAAACGAACACAAAAAAGCCUGAAAAGAGCAUGGAAAUACACAGACAAAAGAGAUCUGAUUCACGGCUUUGUCUAAUUUACACCUCCAGGAUAUUUAGUGAGACAUAAAGUGCAGUUCACAGCUCUCUCUGGAAUGUGAUGUAACUAUGAUUAACAUGUCUAAGUAUAGUAAUAGCGUGGAGGAGGAUGAUAAUAAUGGUGGCCACUGAUUCCCACCCCAUAGAAAGUACAAUCAGGAAAGGAACUGACUGUAGCAGGAUGAACCGUGUGCUAGAUUUAUUCCUCUCUCAGAGGUGAAAUAGGUCAAUAUUCUAUUAUAGUCCAAAUAUUAUUAACUUUCUUUCCCUAUAUAUUUUGGUAUUUCAUUGAAAAGCCCAGUGAAAAUCAAAAUCAAUCUUGGGAAAAAUGACUAUCUCAGCUGUAAUUUUAAAAGUUUCCUCGAUCUAUAUUUUCUUUUUCCCUUUUCCCCAGGGUUCCUUGCAUGUGUGCACUUUGCUUUCUCAACAGAAAGAAAAAGAGAAAACAAAAGUGGAGGAGGUGUUCAAGAACUGUGGGGAUGUGGCACUGAGGAACAUGGUCAGUGGGCAUGGUGGGUUGGAUGGGGGUUGGACUGGGUGAGCCUAGAGGUCUUUUCCAACCUUCGUUAUUCAAAAUGGAGGAAAAUAAAGUGGAUCCUGGUGCUUGUGGUUGUUUUCAUUGCAAAGAAAACGACGUCUUUCUCAAAAUAAGAUAUACAUUGUUGUUAUUAUUUAUUGCAGUACCAGCCCCUUUUUGACAAUAGCCACUCUGGAAAUGUGCGUCUUCCCUGAAGUUAUGCUGGGAAUUGUAUAUUCCAUCAUUUCUGUGGGUAUCUGAGCCCUUUCUUUGAUGUUUUCCUUUCUUUUCCCAAAGUGCCAGCCUGCAAGGGUAUUUUCUGGGUAGAGCAAAGCUUGUGGUAGGCAGCCCCAUGUAUUCAACCAGAACUGCUAUAAAUGUCUUCUCCCUUUGUUGUCACUGCUCUAACACAGAGCGCUCACCGCUUUAUGCUGCUUCUCUGACAGAAGAGAAACUGCAGCAAUGGAGAGGAAUUUCUUCUGUCUGUGGCCAAGGUUAAGGCAAUCUGUAGGAAAGAAUGAAAACGACACAGAGAAAGGAGCACCUCGUUUCAGCAAGGUCCGAACUGCUGUCUGCAACAUUUUGGAUGAUUCCGCACCUUCCCUGCUUUUAUUUUUUUCGUUGCAAGAGGUGUUCCUGUCAAAACCAGAACUCGAGGAGCUGAGCCUAUUGGUGCUACUCUGCCAUGCCCAAAGCCGCAGUUGUGAUUUCCCUGUCACUGGCUCGGGGCUGAACCAGGUGUAGGGGUCUGGGAGGUCCAGCACUGGAAAUGCUGGUGGGAAGCUGGGCUGAGAGGAAACCCAUUCCUUAUGGGGUGUUACAUGAACCUAGAGCUCUACAAAAAUCCACUGCAGAGACUGAGGGUUGGGAAUUAUUAGCAUGCAUCAAAAAGUCCAUAAGAAGCACAGCUACUUCACAGAUAAAAGGGCUGAAUUUGGGGGCUAAUGGUCAGUGCAGCGAAUAGAAGGGAAACAAAUAUUGCUGCAAACAAGAACUCAUUCCAGAGAGCAGCUUUUCUUCUUUCCCCAGCAUGUGUGUGGAAAUCUAUUUCACUGAAAAAUAAAGCUGUGAAUGCAUUAUUAAAAAGCAGAACAAUCUAUGUCUUAACCCCUUCAUUUCAAC
Numida meleagris (helmeted guineafowl) is the source of this 4982-nucleotide long non-coding RNA. RefSeq lists it as uncharacterized. The transcript has 4 exons. NCBI's taxonomy places the organism in Eukaryota, Metazoa, Chordata, Aves, Galliformes, Numididae. The record is from RefSeq and is a predicted model, not a curated record.